CACAUUUUUGGUUUUUUUACUUCCAUGGUGGGAGUCAAGGGUGAGUGUUCCCUGUAUUUAAUGACUCUACCACAGGAAUAAAGAAACAAAAGACAGUAAGAGAAAGGGCAGGAGAAAAAUGUCCUGAAUGUGAAGCCAAGAUUCUAACCGCUUCAGUGAUCACAAAAAUAAGAGUGAGAGUGAGUACUAUGAUGUGACUUGAAUAAAACUUUCCUUAACGGCUAGACCCUACGUAAAUAAGUUGGUCGAAAGGAAAUCAGGGUUCUAUACUUACUGUAGUUUAUGUCGUUGGAGAUUUUUGCUGCAAGUCUCAAAGCAGAUUAUUUUGAAAACAAAACCUCGCAGCCCCACCGCCUUACUCAACCACACAGCUUUUAAAGAACUGACCACUUAAAAGCAUGACCUGAUGCUUUGCUUUUGUUGCAAAAACUUCAGGGACAUAUUUUCACAAUGGGAAAUU
Molecule: long non-coding RNA, 460 nt
Filed under: Bos taurus (domestic cattle)
Lineage: Eukaryota; Metazoa; Chordata; Mammalia; Artiodactyla; Bovidae
Description: long non-coding RNA NONBTAT000213
Source: RNAcentral